This 468-nucleotide ribosomal RNA is filed under the name uncultured bacterium. Its description in RNAcentral is "partial 16S ribosomal RNA". It matches the Rfam family "Bacterial small subunit ribosomal RNA", at positions 28 to 507 of the family's 1533-position model. The record is from RNAcentral.
GACGAACGCUGGCGGCGUGCUUAACACAUGCAAGUCGAACGGACAGGCCCUGCUUUUGUGGGGUGCUCGAGUGGCGAACGGGUGAGUAACAUGCGAGUAACCUGCCCUUGUCUUUGGGAUAACUUCAGGAAACUGGGGCUAAUACCGGAUAGGAGCUACUGCUGCAUGGUGGGGGAUGGAAAGUUUCGGCGGUUGGGGCUGGACUCGCGGCUUAUCAGCUUGUUGGUGGGGUAGUGGCUUACCAAGGCUUUGACGGGUAGCCGGCCUGAGAGGGUGACCGGCCACAUUGGGACUGAGAUACGGCCCAGACUCCUACGGGAGGCAGCAGUGGGGAACAUUGCACAAUGGGCGGAAGCCUGAUGCAGCAACGCCGCGUGCGGGAUGACGGCCUUCGGGUUGUAAACCGCUUUCGCCUGUGACGAAGCGUGAGUGACGGUAAUGGGUAAAGAAGCACCGGCUAACUACGUG